This 459-nucleotide ribosomal RNA is filed under the name Triticum aestivum (bread wheat). Its description in RNAcentral is "partial small subunit ribosomal RNA". The record is from RNAcentral. Lineage: Eukaryota; Viridiplantae; Streptophyta; Magnoliopsida; Poales; Poaceae.
AUGAGUCGACCUGAUGGGAUCAACAUCCCCGACGACAAGUUCUACCUUGGAGAUGCUGGCUAUGCAUGUCGGCCGGGUAUUCUUCCACCCUUCAAGAAAACAAGGUACCAUCUCAACGAGUUCUCUGGUAGGAACUAUCCUAAGACUGCACAGGAAUUGUUUAAUCUCAGACACUCCAACCUUAGAGUAACUGUUGAGAGGGCAUUUGGAGCUCUGAAGAAUAGGUUCAAGAUCCUGGAUCAGAAGCCAUUCCACCCAUACUCCACUCAGGUUAAGCUAGUUCUUGCUUGUUGCACUCUGCAUAACUGGAUCCUCCAGUGGGGCUUUGAUGAACACGUGCCUGACGAUGUUGUUAGCUCCGGCCAUGGUCUGGAGGCAUUUGACAAUGACGCUUGGAAGAACAAAAGGUUGGAGUGGGCAGAGGCGAUGUGGCUUAACAGAGGUCAGUGCAGGAUUUGA